AUAUUAUCGAUUUUUUUUAUUGAGUUAUUUAAAAAUUAUUUAUAAGAUAUGAAGGUUGAAUUUGGUAAAUUCCAAAGCCUUGAACUGAUCUAAUGGCUUUUAACUUGAAUUAAAAUUAUGAUGAGAAAUUGCACCAGAAAUACUCACAAUUGAGAAAUAGACUACAUAGCAAAUGAAAAACAUGCUUGUUAAAACAUUUUUUUGAUAAUAUUAGAAGUUUAAUAUGUUUUAAUAAUCAAUAACAAUAUAUGAUUUCAACAAUUUUAAAUAUUGAUAAAAUAAUUUUGUUUUUUUGUGAAUUUUGUUUCAUAAUCUUUUUUGUUUCAGAAAUAUAAACAAUGAAUAAUUGAUGUAUGUUACUCGGUCAAGUUUCCUGACUUAGACUCUUUUAUGAAAGGCCAUCGGUAUCUGUGUUCUUUACGCGGUUGGCGCUUACGUCAAGGGCGACCUCGACUUUCCACCGUCUCUAAUCUGUACGAGAAUCAUUUGCGAGACAAGCAUUUCAUUUCCACACCGUUACCAUCAGCUUGUCUCCCUCUUUUCGUCUCGGCUUCCUAGCCACUAUGCUGAUGACCUUCAACCGUUCAAGAGGGGAUGGACCUCGUUGGCUAGCGGGCCGAGGUAUAAGGUCAAGGUUGCUGUAGUCGGUGUGCACGGGAUAUGCGACCUCCAAAUGCAUCGAGCGAGAUGCGUGCGCAAUUGACGCAUGCGCACCAUGAGCCGGCUUGUCGUGCGUCGCAGCGUGUCGCGCAAGUCAUUGCCAAGGUCUUCUCUGGUCACGGGCAAACCGUUAUAAGUAGCGAUGGGCACGAACUGAAAUGUAAUUUUUAGACUGUAUUAUUAAAGAUCUAUGUAUAUCAUUAGAUGCUUUUAGGAUGUUAUUAAUUUAAAUAUUGACGAUUUUAAAAAAUUAUGAAUCUGCAUUGAAUAAUUUACAUCCUACAUGAUGUUGAAAUCUUCUAUGAAUGAAAUUAUUAAAAGAACAUAGAAGAAAGGGAAUACGUGAUAAUAGGAAGAAUAUUUGAAAAAUUAACGUUAACCGUUGAGAGUGGCCAUCUUGAAAUUUGUAUUGCAUUUGUAUUUCUUUAACACGUUAUAUAUUCAAUUUGUUUCGAUUUGAUAUUAGAUUAUGAGAAUUUCGGUUCCAUCGCUAGUCAUAAGUUGCCGGUUGAGACUGAUGCAAGGUCGUCGACGAUUGUUUCAGG
Apis mellifera (honey bee) is the source of this 1205-nucleotide long non-coding RNA. RefSeq lists it as uncharacterized. The record is from RefSeq and is a predicted model, not a curated record. The transcript is spliced from 3 exons. Lineage: Eukaryota; Metazoa; Arthropoda; Insecta; Hymenoptera; Apidae.